UCUGAUAUCUACAAAGAGGGUAUGUGGCUUAUUUAAGGGCAUUUAAAAUGUCCAGAUAGUUUUACAGGUCCAUUUUCAACCCUAGAAAUUGGCCCUAGAAUGAAAUGGUCUGUUUUUACCUUAUUUGGAAGGGUCAUGAAUAGUAAUGAGGAGUUCUGCUCUGAUUGGCUGUUUCACUGCAGGCUCAUAACAGUAGCUCAGAGUGACAACAAACAGGUCCAGCGUGACAAUGGAGAGAUUAGGCGUUCAACCGUACAUGUUUGAGCCUGUUUCAGAUGAAGAUGCUGAUUUUGAGGAACAACCAGUUGUUUUAAGAUUGGAACUGGACGAUUCUGAGUGGUGUACUUGUGGAAAUUGUGCAUGCAUGGCCCUCGAGAGAGAAAAUAUAUGUUGCAGGGAAAUAUCACAGGUAUUUCACAAAAUGAUAAAAGUGCCUAAUAAAAUAUCACGCAUGACAGACCAUCCUGGCCUUGAACCUGUGUGACUCAAUAUAUACUGUAUUCUUUGCAAAAUGCAAUGAAUGUAUAUAGAGCUGACCAUGGGCGUGUUAGAGUUAGAGGGAUGGAAAGGCAGUGCUGUGCAUAAGAAGGGAGUUUCCUGAUGCUGCUGGAC
Molecule: long non-coding RNA, 612 nt
Organism: Carassius carassius (crucian carp)
Lineage: Eukaryota; Metazoa; Chordata; Actinopteri; Cypriniformes; Cyprinidae
Exons: 4
Source: RefSeq, a predicted model, not a curated record